CAGACAGGUCAGAGAGAGAGACAGACAGACAGGUCAGAGAGAGAGAGAGAGACAGGUCAGAGAGAGAGAGAGAGAGAGACAGACAGACAGGUCAGAGAGAG
This is a long non-coding RNA of Lates calcarifer (barramundi perch), 101 nucleotides long. RefSeq lists it as uncharacterized. NCBI's taxonomy places the organism in Eukaryota, Metazoa, Chordata, Actinopteri, Centropomidae. The transcript is spliced from 3 exons. The record is from RefSeq and is a predicted model, not a curated record.